ACCACUCAAAGGAAGGAAACCAAGAGAGAGGGGUGGCUGGCUGCUGUUUGGAGACAGUGGUCCUUGUAUUGGCGCCCCGCGGAAUCACUCCAGAUGAGUCAGUGGAUACAGUCUAUAGGUCCCGCCUCAUUGACUUUUCCAGUUGCUACCAGACUACGCACUGUCGCCUGAUGGUUAAGAACUGAAGCUUUAGCCGUGCGCGGUGGCUCACGCCUGUAAUCCCAGCACUUUAGGAGGCAGAGGCGUGUGGAUCACCUGAGGUCACGAGUUCGAGACCAGCUUGACCAACAAGCUGGCAUAUCCGAAUGGGCUGAGCUACCGGAUUAAGAGGGACACCCCAAAGCCCCCAUUGCUGGGUUAUUGCUCCAGAGCCAAUGUUCUUGGGGAAAGGAAGAUAUGCCCUUUGUCAACAUUGCCACUGCUGGUCUGUAAACUCCUAGACGGCCAGCUGGUGGUUCACAAACCAGGACUCCUUGCUCUGGCCCUACCCCUACCUACCAGAAUGACCGUGAACCCUUCCCCACUCACUCCUACAACCAGGUUUCCAUCUCCUCUCUCAGCUUAGGUUUCCCUAACUGUAAAAUAAAAGGGUUGGACUAGGUUAAGGACUUCCUGCUAUUUCUCUCUCCCACACUCUAAGGUUCCUUAGGAAUGCUUCAGAAAACAGCAGGGGUUGGGGCAAGGAUGCCGCUUGAGUCCCAGAGCAACUCCAAUUUCAUAGGCACAUAAAUUUAUGUGAAAGU
Molecule: long non-coding RNA, 743 nt
Filed under: Homo sapiens (human)
Lineage: Eukaryota; Metazoa; Chordata; Mammalia; Primates; Hominidae
Description: HSALNT0290698
Source: RNAcentral